Non-coding RNA from Phascolarctos cinereus (koala), 1158 nucleotides. NCBI's taxonomy places the organism in Eukaryota, Metazoa, Chordata, Mammalia, Diprotodontia, Phascolarctidae. The record is from RefSeq and is a predicted model, not a curated record.
CCCUUUGGGCUCAAGCCUCCAGCUCUCACCUUUCUCACUGCAUGGGCCAGUGGCAAACUGCCAUCCACUUGUUCCUUCAGCAAACGUUUCUCGACCUUCUGCUGGUCUAGGCUGGGCUGUGAAGGCGAUGGGUAGAUUACAGAUGGGCUUGUAGAUUUUAUGAGCUGGAAGAACUCUCCAGUCCAACACUGCCAUCUUACAAAUGAGGAAACUGAGGACCGGAAAAUGAAGGCUACCAUGGAAGCCCUAGCCAGGUCUAGAGGAGGAAGAGACGUUGAGCCUGCCUACUCCAUCCCCUCAAUCCUCCGACGAAGCCCGGAGAGAAAUCAGUGACUUGGCCAAAGUCGUUGAGAGUUCCAGAGGACCAGAGGGAAGCGGACAGAGAACCGAGGUCUCUUUGAGCCAGGAUCUAGGGGAAGGGGGCCUCAUCAUGUCAUGCGGGCCCUCGACGAAAGAGGGUGGAAGCUGGCAACUUAGUAUGCACGAGACAAAAUAGUUUUAGGAGAAUUUGUGCUCAGCGGGAAAAAAAAAAUGACCCAGACCGUCACUUUUGGAAAGUGACGCAGCGUCCUCCUUCCCAGAAGGCCCGGCUCCCAGCGCCUCUUUUUGGACGGCGCGCAAAGCUGGGGCUGAUUUCCUCUUGGACGUCCUGCCACGGCCUCAGAUGUGACCCGACCAACGCAGGACUCUUCCUGUUCUCCCCCCGCGGAGCUCCCUCCCGAGGCUCCUCCGCGGGUCCGAGCCUCUUCUUUGCUUUCUCCCUGCUCUGCUCUGUCUUGGUCUCCAAGCCCAGGACUCUGGAAUCUUAGAGAGGGCAGGGGCGCGGGUGUAUCAUGGCCUGCACCUGAACACCCUCCAUGGUGUUCCCAGCCUCUGGGGGAAUCCUCCAGUGACAGGGAGCUCACUAACGCAGGAAGAGGCCCACUCCCUGCCUAAAAGGGAUGCUUUUAGGAUUUUCUUCCUGACAUCAAGGGCAUGUGAGCCCCUCUGGAACUUCAGCUCUUUGCUUUGGAUUCUCUCCUUUGGGUCCAGGAAAGAAUGUAGUCCCACCUCCACACGUGGGCCCUGCAAGUACUUGAGGAUAGCUGUCAUGGCCCCUCAACGAGGCUCAUCCUCAUUGUCUCCUGCUGCAUGUGCUGCGGUUCAGCAGUGUCCUUC